This 303-nucleotide long non-coding RNA is filed under the name Homo sapiens (human). RNAcentral's name for it is "non-protein coding lnc-ERP44-3:16". Lineage: Eukaryota; Metazoa; Chordata; Mammalia; Primates; Hominidae. The record is from RNAcentral.
GUCGCCAUCUUGGACUCGGUUCGACCAGGUCUGGUGACCGGCGACGAGGGGCCGGGCUCGGCGCCGGGGGUCGGGGUGAGUGGGUGCGAGCCGUGGGAGAGAGGGGGGGCGCUGGCGGCUCUCUUCGUCCGGCGCGGGCUGUGAGAAGUGAGCAGGGCGAGGCGCGGGCGACAGCGGGGCGCGAGGCCCGUGCAUGUGUGUGCGCACGGAGGUGGGGAGACGGUGAUCCCCGCCCGCCCUGCGGAAGGCCCGGCGGUUCUACCACCCGGCAGCUCGGCCAGCCCCGAGUCGCGUGGGGGCGGA